UUAUGGCCAUACCACAUUGAAGCACCAGUUCCCAUGUGAUCACCAAGGUAAAGCAAUGUCAAAGCCUGGUCAGUACCUAGCUGGUUGACUGCUUGGGAAUACCAGGUUCUGCAAG
Acanthosepion pharaonis is the source of this 115-nucleotide non-coding RNA. NCBI's taxonomy places the organism in Eukaryota, Metazoa, Mollusca, Cephalopoda, Sepiida, Sepiidae. The record is from the annotation of a GenBank genome assembly.